This 483-nucleotide ribosomal RNA is filed under the name uncultured bacterium. RNAcentral's name for it is "partial 16S ribosomal RNA". It matches the Rfam family "Bacterial small subunit ribosomal RNA", at positions 28 to 507 of the family's 1533-position model. The record is from RNAcentral.
GAUGAACGCUGGCGGCGUGCCUAACACAUGCAAGUCGAACGAAGCUUGACGGAUGAUUUCUUCGGAAUGAAACCAGAUAUGACUUAGUGGCGGACGGGUGAGUAACACGUGAGCAACCUGCCUUUCAGAGGGGGAUAACGGCUGGAAACGGUCGCUAAUACCGCAUGAUGUGUUCGGAUGGCAUCAUCUGAACAUCAAAGAUUUAUCGCUGAAAGAUGGGCUCGCGUCUGAUUAGAUAGUUGGUGGGGUAACGGCCUACCAAGUCUACGAUCAGUAGCCGGACUGAGAGGGUGAACGGCCACAUUGGGACUGAGAUACGGCCCAGACUCCUACGGGAGGCAGCAGUGGGGAAUAUUGCACAAUGGGGGAAACCCUGAUGCAGCAACGCCGCGUGAAGGAUGACGGUUUUCGGAUUGUAAACUUCUUUUCUUAGUGACGAAGACAGUGACGGUAGCUAAGGAAUAAGCAUCGGCUAACUACGUG